Molecule: long non-coding RNA, 2700 nt
Organism: Rhinolophus ferrumequinum (greater horseshoe bat)
Lineage: Eukaryota; Metazoa; Chordata; Mammalia; Chiroptera; Rhinolophidae
Exons: 3
Source: RefSeq, a predicted model, not a curated record
ACCCUGAAGCACAAGGGUUUAUUACAUGGCAAUUAUAGGAGGCCUAUUUCACAGGAAGUCCCAAAACUGGUACAUUAGAUAGUUUAAAAGAAAACAGACGUGCUGAGAAUCUCUUUCAUUGAUUAACAUUUAGCACCAUAAAAGCAGGUGUAAGUGGCAAGAAAUGCCACCCUACAGUGCCACUGUGAAGAAAAAAAAAAACAAGGCUGAUUUUGUGUGUUUAGGUAAACAGUGGUCACACUGUCUUUUCUCAACCUUAAUUCUCUCCCAAUAAGUGAGAGAACCUUCUGGUGUUUCCACAGCAACGCUCUAGACCAUCUCAGUGCUGCUGGCUGAAGAAGAACUUGGGGGCCUCUCGGUGGGUCAGCUUUCCUCCCUGCCUCACACCCCACUGACAGAAUGUGGUGGACAGAAUCAUAGCUGGCUGCCCCUUCUGCUGAGAGCCCCGAAUGCAACUAAACUGUUGUCAUGGAAAUAUGACCAACAGCCCUAAAUCCACUCAUUUAGAUACCACCCUUCACAGAAAGAAGGAAGAGCUGGUAAAGGAAGAGCAAACCUUCCCCACAGAGCAGGAUGACUGGGUUCUCACCUUCCCAGACUUGGACAGCGGCUACUGGAACACAGGAAGCUGAUACCCUCCCAACCAUGUUCUGUCACAGGGGGGAGGAUUCCAAACUGGAAAGUGCCCACUGCCAACAAGCCUGGCACAGACCUAAGAACAGUUCAGGUCUCAAGUGCCUUCCUCAAAGCCCGCUGUCCUCGCUUCAACUGGUCCACCUGUUUCCAGGUGAGAGGAUUCACCCACCUCACCAGAGUUUCUCCACCUCCGCACUGCUGGCAUGUGGGGGCCAGAGAAUUUGAAUGCGGGACCUGUCCUGUGCAUUGUAGGAUGUUUAGGGCCGCAUCUUUGACCUCUCCCUACUAGAUGCCAGUAGCACCCCUAGCUAUGACCGUCAAAGCCUCCAGACAUUGCCCAACGUCCCCUGAGGCGCAAGUUCAAUCCAGUUGAGAACCAUAUGCUCAAAACACUGGCAGAGCUUCUACCAAAAGCAAAUGAGUAAUGAGUCAGUCGGCAUGUGCCAGUUCCUACACUUCCUUGGUGGGCAGCACUUCACACUCUCAGGAUUCAUUCUCUGGUUCUUUGUUACAAUAAUACUUGGCUCAGCCUUGAAAUAUCCUAGUUUACUUCCAAAAACUGUACAAAGCAAUGGGGGAAAAAUAACCUUGACCUUGGCAUUCAGAUAGACUUGCGUUUGGGUCCUGGUUCCAGCACAGGCUCUCUAUGAGGUAGGAAGGACAGUAACUUCUCUGGGCCUUGGGUUCCUCGAGUGUACAGUAAGACUAGUACUGCCCACCACACCGGCUGACGGUGAGAAUAACAGGGUUACGUAUGCAGAGUGCCCAGUCCGUUUCAUCCUGCCCGUGCUCAGGAAUUAGAAGCAAUCAUCAGUGCUACUGGAGCAACGGUCCACAGGAGAAUGAGCUGCUGAACAAGAGAAAAAGAAACCGGUCACCAUGGCAACCGCAACUUCACAAUCUAUCGUGAGAGAACAGCUCGCUUCCUUUCUUACCCCUUUGGCUGCACCAGAUGGAAUGAGAAAGAAAAGCCCUUCUCUCUUUGCCACGUGUGACAUUCUCUCUCUGGCCUUUCACUGAGGUCUCAGAUGCGAAAAUGCAGAAGAGAUUCCCUCCCAAGGCUUAAAGCUACCAUCACACUGACAGAUCUCAAGGCUUCCUCUUAACUCCUACCUGGUACACAUACGUAAUUCUGGAUCCGUUUAACAGAUAACCUGUGUCAGAGACUACAGAACCUGAGCUGCAGGAGGGGCACCAAGAACUGCAUAUUUUGUCCCACUUCUAGACCAGCUACACUUCCAGUCCUCUGGGAGUCCUGAUGAAGCAAACAACUCAGUUAUCACGUCCUUGGCUCCCUUUAACCUCCACCACAGCCAUCGGCUUUGACUGGGAACUGGUCGGGGAGGCGAGAAUGCAACAUAGCAAGCGUCCCGGGGGUCCGUCUCCCAUCGAAAAGCACAUCUCUCUUCAGCUCCCAAUAAAACAGAAGUAACCAGGAAGCACUGGGUCGUCCCUGCCUAUCAACGUCUCGUAUACUCACAGUUACAGUACAUACCUGUGGACUGUGGGUGUGAUAUUAGGAACGGCAACACAACGCAGUGUGGAGUGUGACAACAGACCGACUAGAAGGAAGCCCAGCCAUUUCGUGCCAGUGCUCCCUCUUCCGUCCUCAAGCCCCAUGUAUCUCCACAGAUCUGCUUGUCUGAUGAGGAAACAAUACGUAACACCACAGCAACUUAGAACCCAGUAUCAUAAAGACCCAGAGAGACAGUCAACGCCAGACACACGGAGAAGAAAAACAGCCCCCCCACACACAGGUGAAGCUGUAUUAAGUCUUCUCUGUGACCAUUUUCAGCAAGAAGCAAACAUUGACACGGCAAGUUCAUGAACAGUGGGAUUUCACAGAACGUGGUUUUCUUUCAUGCUGAGACGUUUCCUUAAUUUCAGUUCAUCCCUAGUAUUCUUCUCAGUGCUCUCAGCUAUCUCUUGUUCUCAGCCACAAUCUGACCUGGGGUAUUUUUGGCUGAUUGUGAAUGGACCGUGCUCUAACAACUGAGUCCUUUCUCUCCUUUCUAGACAUAGUCACCCAACCACUCACAGAUUUAUUUCACUGAAGUUACACUG